AUGGAUAAGGUGUACAUUGGCAUCCUCUCAUGCGCCUUGGUCUUCCUGCUCCACUAUCUCCUUGGCAAGAAGAAGAAGAAGAAGAAGAAGAAGAAGCACAACGGCAAUCUGCCGAGCCCUCGGGCCAUCCCGUUUCUGGGCCACCUCCAUCUCGUGAAGCAGCCAAUCCACGCGGCGCUAUGCCGCCUGGUAGAGCGCCACGGACCCGUGUUCUCGCUUCGCCUAGGCUCUCGCAGAACCGUCGUGGUGUCCUCGGCGGCAAGCGCCAGGGAGUGCUUCACCGAGCACGAUGUGGCCUUGGCCGACCGUCCUAGGAUCCCCUCGUGGCGGUUCGUGUCCAUGGACUUCUCGAUGCUUGCCGCGACCAGCUACGGCCCGCACUGGCGAACCCUCCGCCGCGUGGCGGCGUGCAUCUGCUCUCCACGCAGCGGGUGA
Molecule: ribosomal RNA, 435 nt
Filed under: Triticum aestivum (bread wheat)
Lineage: Eukaryota; Viridiplantae; Streptophyta; Magnoliopsida; Poales; Poaceae
Description: partial small subunit ribosomal RNA
Source: RNAcentral